AUCCUGGCUCAGGAUGAACGCUAGCGGCAGGCUUAACACAUGCAAGUCGAGGGGCAUCGGGAGUAGCAAUACUGCCGGCGACCGGCGCAAGGGUGCGUAACGCGUGAGCAACAUGCCCGUAUCAGGGGGAUAAUCCAUGGAAACGUGGUCUAAUACCCCAUAGUAAUUAUGUAAGGCAUCUUAUAUAAUUUAAAGCUUUGGUGGAUACGGAUUGGCUCGCGUGACAUUAGCUGGAUGGUAAGGUAACGGCUUACCAUGGCUACGAUGUCUAGGGGUUCUGAGAGGAAGGUCCCCCCACACUGGAACUGAGACACGGUCCAGACUCCUACGGGAGGCAGCAGUGAGGAAUAUUGGACAAUGGAUGGAAAUCUGAUCCAGCCAUGCCGCGUGCAAGGAAGACGGCCCUAUGGGUUGUAAACUGCUUUUGUAUGGGAGCAAUAAGGGCUACGUGUAGUCCGAUGAGAGUACCAUACGAAUAAGCACCGGCUAACUCCGUGCCAGCCGCGGC
This 508-nucleotide ribosomal RNA is filed under the name uncultured bacterium. RNAcentral describes it as "bacterial SSU rRNA". It matches the Rfam family "Bacterial small subunit ribosomal RNA", at positions 16 to 518 of the family's 1533-position model. The record is from RNAcentral.